CCAUGCUUUCACAGGCAGAAAAUUAUAUCUUAUUAAUCAAUCACUGCUCUUCAAUAGUUUAGCAAUGAAUUUAUAUAACUAUUUAAUAAGUAUACAAGUUGCAAUAAAAAAUUAAAAUGGACACAUAAACCAACGAACUGGGAGGAUGCAAACCCCAUUAGGGAAAAAAGAUACUACAAAUCCCAUUUUCUUGGCUCUAUCUUCCGGGCUUAAACAAGGAAGAAGCAACACCUAUCAUGUUUCUGAAACUGGAUUUUAUGGCUUCUAAGCUUGUAAAUCCAGCUUCUCAAGUGGGGCAUCCAGUACCAAGAAUGAGAAAGAUGCUUAAAACUCAUAGCAGGUCAGUCCCAGCUAUAAUUCAUCCAUGGACCAGGAGGAAAAGAAAUGCUGAUGUGGUUAGGCCAAUUCACAUCAUCAAAGUUGCAGAACAAAGCCCUGGAUUAGUUGAUGAUAACAAGGAGAUCAAUGAAAAUGACAAAGAUAACAGGGAAGUUGAACAGAUUAAAGCAGACCUUUUCCAGGCAGUCCAAGGUAUGUCUGUCCCCCCUUGAAUUUUCAGUCUCAUGUGCCUAAUAUUUUGCCAUUAAUUCUCUUAACAAUGAGCUUGUUGAGCAUUCUGCAAUGAAUACUGAAAUGGGGUGGCGUUAAAAUGUGAUCAAAGUAAUUAAUAGAGGGAUUUUUGGAGUCCCAUCUGCAAAGAAAUCUGCGAUUCAUGGUUUGGUGGAGCUAUUAGAGUCUCAAAAUCCAACACCAGAUCCUACUCUAAAUCUUGAGAAGGUGGGUGGUUGCUGGAAGCUUGUGUACAGUACAAUCACUAUACUGGGUUCAAAGAGAACAAAGCUAGGAUUGAGAGAUUUUAUCAGCUUGGGAGACUUUUACCAGAAUAUUGAUGUCGCUAAGUUAAUGUGAUCAAUUUCAAUGUUAGAGGAUUGAAUAUGUUGAAUGGACAGCUGACAAUUGAGGCAUCGUUCAAGACUGCGUCUAGAUCAAGAGUUGAUAUAAACUAUGAAAGUUCUAAUAUCAUCCCUGAUCAGUUGAUGAACAUGUUUCGAAAAAACUACGAUCUUCUGCUUAGCAUAUUCAAUCCGGAUGGUUGGCUCGAGAUCACAUAUGUUGAUGACAACAUGAGGAUAGGGAGAGAUGACAGUGGCAAUAUCUUCAUACUAGAGAGAUCCCGAGAAUCUGAAAAUUAAAGAUCAAUUUGCUGCAAUGAUCUUCCUGACAGCAAAUUCAUUAUUUUAGUGAUACAAUCUUCAAGAAUUAUGCUGAUUUCUUCAAUUAUUUCAGUUGAAAA
Populus euphratica (Euphrates poplar) is the source of this 1294-nucleotide RNA transcript. It is a transcript of the gene named Plastid-lipid associated protein PAP / fibrillin family protein, with no coding region annotated. The record is from RefSeq and is a predicted model, not a curated record. Lineage: Eukaryota; Viridiplantae; Streptophyta; Magnoliopsida; Malpighiales; Salicaceae. The transcript is spliced from 6 exons.